Lagenorhynchus albirostris (white-beaked dolphin) is the source of this 5909-nucleotide RNA transcript. It is a transcript of the gene named ER lipid raft associated 2, with no coding region annotated. The record is from RefSeq and is a predicted model, not a curated record. Lineage: Eukaryota; Metazoa; Chordata; Mammalia; Artiodactyla; Delphinidae. The transcript has 12 exons.
CGCGCGCGUUUGGGCCUCGGUGAGGCUCCCGGCAGGAGCUGAUCGACGGUUCCCCCCGGCCCCCAGCACAGCAUCCUUUCUCCCUCGGGAGCGGGAAAGCAACCCCUUUCUGUCCCGUCCCUUCCCCGCGAGCCUCUAGACGGGACGGAGCGGAGGCUCUUGGAGCCUCCAGCCCCGAACCAGGGCUCCUGGGACUCGCGACCCUCUCUCAGAAGAGGGCAGGGAAGGAGCGCGAGGUGGAGCGGGGGUGACUUCGGGGAGGAAAGGGUUUUUGCACAUAGGACGCAGCUGCAGAUCGGUAGCUGGAGGCCGCACGGUGAAAUAAGCGCCUCGCAGACGUCUACGCCCGAGUUAAGUUAGACCCGGGAGACAGAAAUCCACGCGCUGGACGCGUGGGCCCAGGCGCGCCCGAUUGGGAACCUCGCUGACAGUUACUGUAGUUUUUCCAGAUCAUUCAGUGUUUAGGAAAUGAGUCUCUGGAUGCCAACUCCUUCGCGUCCUGGUGCCCGAAUACAGUUGAACCCAGGAGCCCCAGAGUCUACCCAGCCUGGGGAACCCCCUUUCCCCUCUAACCAUGGGCUUGGGGAACCUGUCAGUUGCAAAGUGCUAGUCAAGCAUAUGGGAGGGAGUGUGGCUUCAGUGCUGCUUAGAUACCUAUAUUGUUUAGGGCCAAAGGAAUAACGGGGAAGGUGGAUGAAAGGCCAGAGAAUCCCGCCAUGGAACUCGGCUCGCAUGCUGUCUGUGUCGCUCCAGCCUCUGAAAGGAGUAAAUAAUGGUUUCCUUUGAAGUGGCAGGCAAUUAAGGACUGGGAGGCUCUGACCAGAAUUACACAGCCACAACUGCCUGUCAUCUGACAUCCUCUGUAAUUUGGGCCAACGUACUGCAGCUGCCUCGCUUCCCUUUUACUAAUAUGAGUGGCUCCGGUGACAGGCCGUUCGUGUUCACAGGAAGGGAAGGCUGUGUCCUGAACGCUGCCCAAUUGGCACUGGUUUUCCCUUGGGCCACGGCUGUAUCUGGAGCCAGUUAAGGAAUGGUGGUGCCAAGUGAGAGCAAGGAGGAAGAGAGUUGUAGAUCUAGCCUUGUGUUCAUACUACUACAGGCUGGACGUGAGCCACUUUCUGGAGCUCAGCUUGGGGAGGUGCUCUCGCUGUCAGAGCUUUUCUCCCGCAAGUCAGAGCGCACACAUCUUGCUGUAUCUUUUCCCCCAGGGUGAACGCUCACUGAUGGCUCAGUUGGGAGCAGUUUUGGCUGUGGCUGCCAGUUUCUUGUGUGCAUCUCUCUUCUCAGCUGUGCACAAGAUAGAAGAGGGACAUAUUGGGGUGUAUUACAGAGGCGGUGCCCUGCUGACUUCCACCAGCGGCCCUGGCUUCCAUCUCAUGCUCCCAUUCAUCACAUCCUAUAAGUCUGUGCAGACCACACUCCAGACAGAUGAGGUGAAGAACGUACCUUGUGGGACAAGCGGUGGCGUGAUGAUCUACUUCGACAGAAUCGAGGUGGUGAACUUCCUGGUCCCACACGCAGUGUAUGAUAUAGUGAAGAACUACACUGCCGACUACGACAAGGCGCUCAUCUUCAACAAGAUCCACCACGAGCUGAACCAGUUCUGCAGUGUCCACACGCUUCAGGAGGUCUACAUCGAGCUCUUCGAUCAGAUUGAUGAAAAUCUCAAACUGGCUUUGCAACAGGACCUGACCUCCAUGGCCCCCGGGCUCGUCAUCCAAGCUGUGCGGGUGACAAAGCCCAACAUACCUGAAGCCAUCCGCAGGAACUACGAGCUGAUGGAAAGCGAGAAGACGAAGCUUCUGAUUGCAGCCCAGAAGCAGAAGGUGGUGGAGAAGGAAGCCGAGACAGAGCGGAAGAAGGCCCUCAUUGAGGCAGAGAAAGUGGCUCAGGUGGCAGAAAUCACCUAUGGGCAGAAGGUGAUGGAGAAGGAGACGGAGAAGAGGAUUUCGGAAAUCGAAGAUGCUGCGUUUCUGGCCCGGGAGAAAGCCAAGGCGGACGCCGAGUGCUACACUGCCAUGAAAAUAGCCGAAGCAAAUAAGCUGAAGCUGACCCCUGAGUAUUUGCAGCUGAUGAAGUACAAGGCCAUCGCUUCCAACAGCAAGAUUUACUUUGGCAAAGACAUCCCUGACAUGUUCGUGGACUCUGCGGGCAGCCUGGGCAAGCACUUGGAGGCGCUAGCUGACAAGCCGAGCUUUGGCUUAGAAGAGGAGCCCUCGGAGGCAGACGCGGAGGAGAACUGAAUGUUUGUCCCCAGCCGCACAUGACCCUCAAAGAGAUCUUUAUUUUUUAAUGAUGAACCAGCCCUCCCUUCCACACUACCUUCUUUGACUCUCUUCCACGUACUGUGGUGAAAAAAGAAGAAACGGACUUAAACCUAUUCCCCUUCCUGGGAAGCGGGGGUAGGGACUGAUGAAUUGGGGUUUUCUUCAGCAUCAAGAAGACAGGAAUGAAGAACUCAGGUGUCUUCAAAGCUGCUGAAGUGGGACCGUGCUAUCUGUUAGCCACUGUGGUACCUGCUUGGCAAACUGUGCGCGUUCCUUGAGAUCAAGUGUCUUUUCAUUGCUGUGGGGAUCCUACGGUUGAAGACCUCCUCUGGGGGAGGAAGAAGGGCUCGUCCCAAAGAUUCCCCAAUCUCAGUGCCUGUGACUUGUGCUGGGGUCUGUCUGAUGUAGUGAUAAGGGGGAGCCCGUUCGCUAAGCGGCCGGUGUCUUUAAAUCCAGGGCUCCAGGGGUCACACCGAGUGUUAAAUCUCCAGAGACAGCUGUGUGGGUACGAGUUCAUGCCCUAGUCCCUGGGUCAGGACUGCAUCAGAAUCCACUCAAAUGUUUUUUCAUUACUAAUUGGGAGAUUUGGAUGGGGGGAACACAAACAUGAAAAAAAGGUUUUCUUGUGUCCUGAAGUUGGAGUUGGGGGCAGGAGUGUGCACCAGGUCGCUAAGUGGAGGGCAGCUGUCUGGAGUGAACUUGCAAGCCUGUUGGUAUCGUCCACGACAAGCCCUGGCUGAGGAUUUGUUAUUAGCUGCCCCCCUCCAAGAAGAACUCCCACUGUACCCCUCUUUUCUCGGUGAAACUACAAAUGAUACUUUCUGGCACAGAUUUCCAUCUCAUUUUUGAUCCCACACCCAGACUUCUGAUUAAUCGAAUGGCCCCAAAAGUCGGGCUACCUUGCUUCUAAGUAGCACCAGGCUCUUCGGGAGUUGGGGGAACAUUCAGCCGGCCUAGGAAUACACAGAGAGUUAAUCCCUCUUAAUUUAAAUGUUGCCCUUUUCUGUUCUAAUUUGUGGGACUUAGAAUUCUCAAACCACCAUUCCUGGUCACACUUUGUGCAGGCAGCCAAAUGUUCCUGGGAGUGAUGGAUUUUAAUGUGCUCAGAAGGCCUUGCAGAAGGCAGUUAGUCUAAGACCAACAUAAGGUAUCCAUCAUUAAGAUACACUCACCCUCCUCCCACUUCAGUGCCAUUAAUCACUUGUUAGGAGUACCACGUCACAUCCAGCAUCCCUGAUUUACAUAUUUGUCGGCUCCUCUGCUCUGAGACCGGCUGCCUAAGCCUCAGAAAACACUACUUCUCUCCAGUGGAAUACGCAGCAAGGACAUCUCAGCCUCUCUGAAUAGCAAGCUUGCUCAGAUUCUUAACCGGAACUUCUCUCUAAUACUAGCAUCCUGUGAUGGCUUGUCCCUUGCACUAGAUCACAAAGGAGCCUCGGUGAAGUCCUGCUACACCUGCCCCCCUUCAAUGUCAAUGUCACUUCUUCUUUAAGCAAAAAAUGUAACUGUUGUAGUACCCAUUCGUUUAACUCCAAUGUUGUCUGUACCUGCCUGAAUAGGAAAAUCAUGGAAAUGGGCUGUUUUCUUAGCUUGAGACAACUAACCAGUCUGUCUGUGUGACUUCGUUUCUGUAACACUUACUAGAAAACCUGAUCUGAAAACAUUUGAAUUCUAAACAUGUAAACUGUGACAGCCUGCAAUUCUGUAGGCAGUAAAGUCAUGGCUGCUAUUGAUAAAUGGAACCUCUAUCAAAAUAAGGAACUGUUUAUAAAAGUCAGUUUUUGUAGGACUUUCCAAGGAAAAAUCACCUUGGUUGAAUGUUUCUCACUCAUUAAACUUUGCAGAAGUGAUCUAUAUUCAGUACUGUUUUUAAUCACUUUUUUUAAUAUCAGGACAGCAUAUUUGAAAGGAAGCCACAGUUUGUUAAUUUUUAUAUGACUAAAAUAAAUUCGGAGGGAUCUGCGAUCAUAUUAAGUUGAGAGAGGGAAAAAAAUCACUGAAAGAAUUUUAGCAAUAUAGUCAUCCCUCGGCAUCUGCAGGGGACUGGUUCCAGGACACUCCCCCCGACCCCGUACCAAAAUCCGUGGAUACUCAAGUCCCUUAUAUAAAAUGGCCUAGUGUAGCUGCCCCUGUAUCCGCGGGUUCCACAUCCACAGAUACAAAGGGCCGACUAUAUUGAUCCGAAAAAAGUAGAUGUUUUAUAAAUGAUCUGUUGCAGUUUCUAUGAGUCUCUAUCUUUCAACACAGAUAACUUCACCAUUUAUAAACAGUGAAAGUAAGAGCUUCAUAUUUAGUGACUACCUAUUUAAGUUUGAUUGAGGAUAAGUUGUAUCCUGACUAGGGGUCACUCUGCCUCUAUGGACUUAACCACUGCUUCUUUAGUUCUAUUCAGUAGGGUUCUAGCCACUAUUUCUGGUGUUUCCUUUUAAAAGAGGUAAUAGCCAAUCAUUUUGUGUUUGUAUUUCCAUUCCUAUUUCUGCUUUUGUGCAAGCUGGUGAUUGAAUAGUCAAAACUAAUUCUACUUGCAAAGAGCCCCGAGGACUGAAUGGCCCCCUUUGAAACUGAGAAAUGAUUGUUGUUAUAUUAAUCACUCUACAAAUGAUAUGCUGGAUUAAUUGCCUUGGGCUGAUAGAUGGAAGAACUGUUUUAGACAACUCUAAAGGUGUGAUUUGAUGUCUUAGUUUUAUUUUCAGUCUUGCUAAAUAAAAUGAGUCUUUGUAUUUUUUUAUUACAGUGAAAUUUAGCAAUAGCUAAUAUUAGAUUAGGUGAUAUAAAGAGAUAAAACAUUUCUGCCUAGUGAGUUAAGUCGAGCCCCAAAAAUAUAUUCAGAUGAAUAUCUCUUCCCAUUAUCAAUGUAGAAAUAAUAAACAGCUUAUUUGUGAAAAUGGCAUAAUUCUUGGUAGGUGCUACGGAGAUUUAUCGUAAAAUACUCCAAACACUGCUGCAAUUCUGCUCCAAAAGAGCAGACGUACUUUCAACUGACCCAAAAUAUAUUUUGAUAUCAAUUCGGUAAGAAAGUCGCAGUCUCUGUCUGGGAAAUAUGCCCAGCCUAGAGUUGCCGAAUAAAAUACAGGAUGCCCAGUUAAAUGUGAUUUUCAUAUAAAUAACGAGUAAUUUUUAGUAUAAGUAUGUCCCAAAUAUUGCAUGAGACAUACUAAAAAAGUAUUCGUUGUUUAUAUGAAAUUCACAUUUAACUGAGCAUCCUGAACAGUUGACCCUUGAACAACACGGGUCCACUUUUACACGGAUUUUUUUCAAUAAGCGCACACUACAGGACUAUUCAAUCUGCGGUUGGUUGCCUUCGCAGGUGCAGAACCACAGAUACGAGGGCCUGCUAUAAAGUUAUAGGCAGAUUUUCGUCGAUGCCAGCCGGGGUCAGUGCCUCUAACACCUGCAUUGUUCAAGGAUCAACUGUAUUUUUAUUUGCUAAAUCUGGCAACCCUAGCCCAUGCUUUCUCAGGUUUUUCAAUGGUGCUCCCAAACUUUCUCUGUUGGUUGGAGAGCCCAACACAAAUACUAUGGAUUUACAAUUGAAUAGGUAAAUUAAGAAUGUAGUUUCUAGAGUUAGACUGCCAAGAUUCAAAUCCCUUCUCUACCACUUCUUAGAUGUAUGGUCUUGAAUAAAUUCUUUAACCUGUCUGA